GCACAAAAUGCGAUAUCCGUUGUGUUAUUCAGUCAUGUUUUCUCCCUUUCUUUCUAAAACGCGACAAAAGCCAGUCUCCUUUCUCUGCAGAACGCGAUAUAUCCGCUCAACCAAUCACAGCGCUCCAUUCCACGCAUUGUAAACAGAAAUGGCGGCUCUCUGAAUGCCGGCAUCCUAGUUUCCCUAUCUGCUUUGUACUUUGUGAUCAACAAAAACAGAAAAAUGAAUAAUUUUGACGGCAUUGAUGAACCUGUGGUGGUUUCUGCGGUGUGGAAGAAACGUCACAUGUCUUAUAGGACAGUUCUCAACUGUGGCAGGACCCUGAUUUGAAACUGAACAUGAAGAGACUCCCAAGACUCACCUGUUUUACUGAUUCCUCUCAGCUCUUCGGCUUCGUCCAUGCUGCUGACUCCUCCCAGCUCAUUGGCUCCACCUCAGACCCCCUCACCACCAGUGCAAUGCUAUGAAGUGGAUCCCCUGGCUUCACCUUGGGCUUCCAGGCCCAUUAAUUUGGCUCUGCCUUGGCUCUACGCUCCCUCAGCUCCACCUUGGUCUCUCGUUAUCCUGGUUUUUGGACUUCAGCUCCAUCUCUUUGCCUCCACCGGGCUCCUCCUUCUCUCCGGUUCCACCUCGGUCCUCACUCCCUUUGGUGUCACCCUGUUCUGCAGGACCCUUGACAUCGCCUUGUCCACUCAAGCCAGCAGCAUCGCUUAGAACUCGCUGUCCUGCGAUGUCGUACUGGACCAUUGAUCACCUUCGAUUCCACAGAGGUCUCCAUCUGUCUGCCCCAAGGCUCUUCCCAAGAGGUCUUUCAGGGCUCCACCUUGGCUCCUCCCUCCCUUAUCUCCGCUAUGGCAAUCUCUUCUAAUUCCCUGCCCUUCACCUGCUCUAUGUUUUCCACAUCCUUCACCAAAGCCCCCUCUUUUCUUGUGGUUUAGUUCCUGUUUCUAUAGUCAACAAGUUCUCCUUGUUUGUUACCUUGGUUACUAAUUAAUCCCACCUAUAUGUUUAGUUCUCUGUGUAUCAGUACUCCCUGUUUUGCUCAUUCCUUUGUCGGUUCUGAUCGCUUAGUUAAUGUAGUAUGUGUUAUUUUCCUUGCGAGCAUUCUCUUAUUAAAAAUAUCUCUUUGGACUUCCUGCGUCAUGCAUA
Molecule: long non-coding RNA, 1149 nt
Organism: Megalobrama amblycephala (Wuchang bream)
Lineage: Eukaryota; Metazoa; Chordata; Actinopteri; Cypriniformes; Xenocyprididae
Exons: 3
Source: RefSeq, a predicted model, not a curated record